Molecule: non-coding RNA, 927 nt
Organism: Cinara cedri
Lineage: Eukaryota; Metazoa; Arthropoda; Insecta; Hemiptera; Aphididae
Source: the annotation of a GenBank genome assembly
AGAGUUUGAAUGUUGUAGUUUAAAAAAGCACUUAAAUUAAAACUACUUAAAAUUAAAGAGCUAUUAAUGCACUAAAUAUAAAUGGCAAAAACUAAAAAUGUAUGUAUUAAUCCUUAAUAGUAUGAAAUAAAUUUGUAGCUAAUGUAUCUUCAUAUUGAACCAAUAGAAGAAAAAAAGGAAAAGCUUACAUCCAAACUUUAGGUAUUUAUUUUUAUUAAAAAUAAAUUAUUAUCUGUUGAAUUAAAUAAUUAACAAGAAUAACACUUAAAUGUGUAACUAUUGUGAAAUUUUAAUUGUGUGAACAAUAGUAAUAAUAAUAAUUAUAAUGAUUUUCUUUUCCGUAAUACCAAGAUAACUCUUUAAUAAACAAAAAUAAAUAAAUAAGCAAUUAGAUAUUCAUACCAAAUAUAUCUAAAAACCCCUAUUUUACUCUCUUAGGGGUUGAAUUUUCAAAAAUCCUUUCUUAUUGGAUGCCUACAUCAUAAUAGCUAUCUGUGUACCAAAUGACAGCCACAUCAGUCCAGUGGUUUGGGCUAGGUGAUGAUGAUUUAGUCAGUCAGUCAGUUCUGAUUUUAUUUUUUUUAUUAUUAUUACUUUUUACUUAUUGUUCGAUAUGUUGAUGCGCAAAUGAUGUAAAAUAUUAUGUUGGUAAGAGGUAAAUGGACGAUGUGCAAAAUGAUAACAGUUGACUCAUAGACAAUAUAGUAUAUUAUACCUAUAGAUCAGAGGUGUUUUUAGGAUUUUAUAUUGGAGGAGGAGAUAUGAAAAUAUAUUAAAAAGCUGUGGGACCCAAGCUCCAACACCCCCAUUUUUAUAUAAAAACAACAUACGUUAAAUUAUAACAUAUAUUUUUGAUUAAAAUAUUGAAUUUACAAAAUGAUAUACAUUUUACUUGAUUUUUGAGCCUGUAUAUCAAGAACUUUUUUG